Molecule: ribosomal RNA, 918 nt
Filed under: Porphyra sp.
Lineage: Eukaryota; Rhodophyta; Bangiophyceae; Bangiales; Bangiaceae
Description: eukaryotic LSU rRNA
Rfam family: Eukaryotic large subunit ribosomal RNA
Source: RNAcentral
GCAUAUAAUUAAGCGGAGGAAAAGAAACUAACAAGGAUUCCCUCAGUAGCGGCGAGCGAAGCGGGAAGAGCUCAACAUGAAAACCGGUGGGGGGCUCAGGCUUACCCCCGGGUUGUAUAGUAAAGUGGUGCCGUCUGUGUCGUGCCGGGUAUAAAUCCCGUUUGGAAUGGGGUGUCAUAGAGGGUGAUAACCCCGUCUUUGAUCCGGUCAUUUGCGAUGCGUUACGGCGGCCUUACGAAGAGUCGGGUUGCUUGGGCAUGCAGCCCUAAGUGGGUGGUAAACUUCAUCUAAAGCUAAAUAUUAGCGAGAGACCGAUAGCGUACAAGUACCGUAAGGGAAAGAUGCAAAGAACUUUGAAAAGAGAGUUAAACAGGGCUUGAAACCGUUAAGAGUGAAGCGAAGGAGGCCAGUGAUCAUGGGGCCAGUUCCCCAAGCACUUUUGCAAAAAAGUGCCGUAGCGUUCUGGUUUUUCCCGGGACAGCGCCGGCUGGGGGCGGGUGUCAACGGGGAGGAGGUUGAGGGGUUCAUUCCCCGCCUAACUCUACUCCCUUCUAGCUUGCACCCUGGCCGAGGGAUCCACAACCAAAACAGACGCAAGUCUGUUUACCUGUGUGAGGGCGCUGUCAAAAUGGCCUUCUCCACCCCGUCUUGAAACACGGACCAAGGAGUCUAACAUACUCGCGAGUGUUUGGGUGGUUAAAACCCCAACGCACAAUGAAAGUAAACGACAGCUCUGCGCUGUUGCUUGGUGGGAACCCUACUUGUAUAGAGGGGGGCACCAUCACCCGACCCCGAUCCCCUUGGGGUGGUUGGUUUUGAGGCAGAGCGAGUAUGAUGGGACCCGAAAGAUGGUGAACUAUUCCUGAGUAGGGCGAAGCCAGAGGAAACUCUGGUGGAGGCUCGUAGCGAUGCUGACGU